This 292-nucleotide ribosomal RNA is filed under the name uncultured bacterium. Its description in RNAcentral is "partial 16S ribosomal RNA". It matches the Rfam family "Bacterial small subunit ribosomal RNA", at positions 505 to 796 of the family's 1533-position model. The record is from RNAcentral.
GUGUCAGCAGCCGCGGUAAUACGGGGGGGGCAAGCGUUGUUCGGAAUUACUGGGCGUAAAGGGCUCGUAGGUGGCCAACUAAGUCAGACGUGAAAUCCCUCGGCUUAACCGGGGAACUGCGUCUGAUACUGGAUGGCUUGAGUUCGGGAGAGGGAUGCGGAAUUCCAGGUGUAGCGGUGAAAUGCGUAGAUAUCUGGAGGAACACCGGUGGCGAAGGCGGCAUCCUGGACCGACACUGACACUGAGGAGCGAAAGCCAGGGGAGCAAACGGGAUUAGAUACCCUCGUAGUCC